GUUUUGAUACACUGACUGCUCAAAUGAUUGGUAUCAUCUCUCUCUCUGUGUGUGUGUGUGUGUGUGUAUUUUGCUAAUGUAGGUUAUCUAUAUACUAGUCAGGUUUAUAUACUAGUCAGGUUCAUAUACUAGUCAGGUUCAGAUACUAGUCAGGUUCAUAUACUAGUCAGGUUUAUAUACUAGUCAGGUUUAUAUACUAGUCAGGUUCAGAUACUUGUCAGGUUUAUAUACUAGUCAGGUUCAUAUACUAGUCAGGUUCAUAUACUAGUCAGGUUCAUAUACUAGUCAGGUUCUAGUCAGGUUCAUAUACUAGUCAGGUUUAUAUACUAGUCAGGUUUAUAUACUAGUCAGGUUUAUAUACUAGUCAGGUUUAUAUACUAGUCAGGUUCAUAUACUAGUCAGGUUCUAGUCAGGUUCAUAUACUAGUCAGGUUUAUAUACUAGUCAGGUUCAUAUACUAGUCAGGUUCAUAUACUAGUCAGGUUUAUAUACUAGUCAGGUUCAGAUACUAGUCAGGUUCAUAUACUAGUCAGGUUCAUAUACUAGUCAGGUUCUAGUCAGGUUCAUAUACUAGUCAGGUUUAUAUACUAGUCAGGUUUAUAUACUAGUCAGGUUUAUAUACUAGUCAGGUUUAUAUACUAGUCAGGUUCAUAUACUAGUCAGGUUCAUAUACUAGUCAGGUUCAUAUACUAGUCAGGUUUAUAUACUAGUCAGGUUCAUAUACUAGUCAGGUUCUAGUCAGGUUCAUAUACUAGUCAGGUUUAUAUACUAGUCAGGUUCAUAUACUAGUCAGGUUCAUAUACUAGUCAGGUUUAUAUACUAGUCAGGUUCAGAUACUAGUCAGGUUCAUAUACUAGUCAGGUUCAGAUACUAGUCAGGUUCAUAUACUAGUCAGGUUUAUAUACUAGUCAGGUUUAUAUACUAGUCAGGUUCAGAUACUUGUCAGGUUCAUAUACUAGUCAGAUUCUAGUCAGGUUCUAGUCAGGUUCAUAUACUAGUCAGGUUCAUAUACUAGUCAGGUUCAUAUACUAGUCAGGUUCAUAUACUAGUCAGGUUCUAGUCAGGUUCAUAUACUAGUCAGGUUCAGAUACUAGUCAGGUUCAUAUACUAGUCAGGUUCAUAUACUAGUCAGGUUCUAGUCAGGUUCAUAUACUAGUCAGGUUCUAGUCAGGUUCAUAUACUAGACAGGUUCAGAUACUAGUCAGGUUCAUAUACUAGUCAGGCUCUAGUCAGGUUCAUAUACUAGACAGGUUCAGAUACUAGUCAGGUUCAUAUACUAGUCAGGUUCUAGUCAGGUUCAUAUACUAGUCAGGUUCAGAUACUAGUCAGGUUCAUAUACUAGUCAGGUUCAUAUACUAGUCAGGUUAAUAUACUAGUCAGGUUCAUAUACUAGUCAGGUUUAUAUACUAGUCAGGUUCAUAUACUAGUCAGGUUCAUAUACUAGUCAGGUUCAGAUACUAGUCAGGUUCAGAUACUAGUCAGGUUUAUAUACUAGUCAGGUUCAUAU
Molecule: long non-coding RNA, 1506 nt
Organism: Coregonus clupeaformis (lake whitefish)
Lineage: Eukaryota; Metazoa; Chordata; Actinopteri; Salmoniformes; Salmonidae
Exons: 3
Source: RefSeq, a predicted model, not a curated record